AUUGAACGCUGGCGGCAGGCCUAACACAUGCAAGUCGAGCGGUAACAGAAAGAAAGCUUGCUUUCUUUGCUGCCGAGCGGCGGACGGGUGAGUAAUGCCUGGGAAUAUACCCUGAUGUGGGGGAUAACUAUUGGAAACGAUAGCUAAUACCGCAUAAUCUCUUCGGAGCAAAGAGGGGGACCUUCGGGCCUCUCGCGUCAGGAUUAGCCCAGGUGGGAUUAGCUAGUUGGUGGGGUAAUGGCUCACCAAGGCGACGAUCCCUAGCUGGUCUGAGAGGAUGAUCAGCCACACUGGAACUGAGACACGGUCCAGACUCCUACGGGAGGCAGCAGUGGGGAAUAUUGCACAAUGGGGGAAACCCUGAUGCAGCCAUGCCGCGUGUAUGAAGAAGGCCUUCGGGUUGUAAAGUACUUUCAGUUGUGAGGAAGGCGUUGGAGUUAAUAGCUUCAGCGCUUGACGUUAGCAACAGAAGAAGCACCGGCUAACUCCGUG
RNAcentral lists this ribosomal RNA (492 nucleotides) under uncultured bacterium. Its description in RNAcentral is "partial 16S ribosomal RNA". It matches the Rfam family "Bacterial small subunit ribosomal RNA", at positions 30 to 507 of the family's 1533-position model. The record is from RNAcentral.